RNAcentral lists this ribosomal RNA (470 nucleotides) under uncultured bacterium. RNAcentral describes it as "bacterial SSU rRNA". It matches the Rfam family "Bacterial small subunit ribosomal RNA", at positions 334 to 793 of the family's 1533-position model. The record is from RNAcentral.
CACUCCUACGGGAGGCAGCAGUGGGGAAUAUUGCACAAUGGGGGAAACCCUGAUGCAGCCAUGCCGCGUGUGUGAAGAAGGCCUUCGGGUUGUAAAGCACUUUCAGUAGGGAGGAAGGUAGUGUAGUUAACACCUGCAUUAUUUGACGUUACCUACAGAAGAAGCACCGGCUAACUCCGUGCCAGCAGCCGCGGUAAUACGGAGGGUGCGAGCGUUAAUCGGAAUUACUGGGCGUAAAGCGCAUGCAGGCGGCCUGUUAAGUCAGAUGUGAAAGCCCCGGGGCUUAACCUCGGAAUUGCAUUUGAAACUGGCAGGCUAGAGUCUUGUAGAGGGGGUAGAAUUUCAGGUGUAGCGGUGAAAUGCGUAGAGAUCUGAAGGAAUACCAGUGGCGAAGGCGGCCCCCUGGACAAAGACUGACGCUCAGAUGCGAAAGACGUGGGGACGCAAACAGGAUUAGACUACCCUGGUAG